RNAcentral lists this ribosomal RNA (496 nucleotides) under uncultured bacterium. RNAcentral describes it as "partial 16S ribosomal RNA". It matches the Rfam family "Bacterial small subunit ribosomal RNA", at positions 29 to 507 of the family's 1533-position model. The record is from RNAcentral.
AUGAACGCUGGCGGCGUGCCUAAUACAUGCAAGUCGAGCGAACAGACGAGGAGCUUGCUCCUCUGACGUUAGCGGCGGACGGGUGAGUAACACGUGGAUAACCUACCUAUAAGACUGGGAUAACUUCGGGAAACCGGAGCUAAUACCGGAUAAUAUAUUGAACCGCAUGGUUCAAUAGUGAAAGACGGUUUUGCUGUCACUUAUAGAUGGAUCCGCGCCGCAUUAGCUAGUUGGUAAGGUAACGGCUUACCAAGGCUACGAUGCGUAGCCGACCUGAGAGGGUGAUCGGCCACACUGGAACUGAGACACGGUCCAGACUCCUACGGGAGGCAGCAGUAGGGAAUCUUCCGCAAUGGGCGAAAGCCUGACGGAGCAACGCCGCGUGAGUGAUGAAGGUCUUCGGAUCGUAAAACUCUGUUAUUAGGGAAGAACAAAUGUGUAAGUAACUAUGCACGUCUUGACGGUACCUAAUCAGAAAGCCACGGCUAACUACGUG